AAUUAAAUAUUUCUUUUCCCCACGUUUUCCUCUUCUUCUCUUCUCCUCCCUUCUCCUUCUUCUCUUCUUCUUCCUCCUUCUCUUCCCCUCUUCUCCUGCUUCCAUUUUAAAUUUGGUCCGGCAUCAACUUGGUAUCAGAGCAAGGCUGGUUUUGCCCCUGCUGCCAAAGCCCCGAUCCAUCUCCCGGCUACUUCUUCCAAA
This 201-nucleotide long non-coding RNA is filed under the name Phoenix dactylifera (date palm). RNAcentral's name for it is "long non-coding RNA (PDAC_LNC018200)". The record is from RNAcentral. Lineage: Eukaryota; Viridiplantae; Streptophyta; Magnoliopsida; Arecales; Arecaceae.